GGGGACUUAGCUUAGUGGCACAGUGCCUACUUGACAAGUAUGAGGUCCUGAGUUCAAUUCCUAGUCCUCA
This 70-nucleotide transfer RNA is filed under the name Cavia porcellus (domestic guinea pig). It matches the Rfam family "tRNA". Rfam says of the family: Transfer RNA (tRNA) molecules are approximately 80 nucleotides in length. The record is from Rfam by way of RNAcentral. Lineage: Eukaryota; Metazoa; Chordata; Mammalia; Rodentia; Caviidae.